Molecule: microRNA precursor, 97 nt
Filed under: Pteropus alecto (black flying fox)
Lineage: Eukaryota; Metazoa; Chordata; Mammalia; Chiroptera; Pteropodidae
Also listed under: 1 other name
Description: mir-544 microRNA precursor family
Rfam family: mir-544 microRNA precursor family
Source: Rfam by way of RNAcentral
AUCACCUGAGGAUCUUGUUAAAAUGUAGACUCUGACUCAGUAGCUCUGGGUCGCAGCCUGAGAGUCUGCAUUUCUAACAAGUACCAGGUGUUGCUGA